AUGUUCCCUGUUAUUUUUGUUGCAGCAUCUCAGGCUGCGAAAAUGGAGCAAGAAUCUUCUGCUGCUGGGAGCUCCUUGAACCACCUGCUGGGACUCCCGCACGGGGUAGACAACAGGGAGUUUAUGCACUGCACGGGGACCCACCCCAGCGCAGACUAAACCCCACUGUCCUGGGACCAGCGGGCACAAAUGCCGGAACAUCCAGGACUAUUUUCGUUGUUUGUUUUAGAAUCUCGGCAGGCUCUCACAUGCUAGCAGGUGGAAGCUGUGGUGAAAAUUCUGGGGGCUGCCUGCUCUAUGUCACCCCCGUCUCGAAGGGGUUUCCCCUCAACGGGCAGGAGGCUGCGUUGCUAGGGAGCGUGUUGCCAUAGCACCAUCAGAUUUGUGAUUCCUCCAGGGAGGGGGGAGUGACCCCCCCAUAUCCCUCCCUCCUAGAUCCCUGGGGGAACCAUGGUGGGCUACAGUCACCUGGCCAUGGUGCUGGCUGUAGCCACGCAGACUCUGUUCCAGCCAAUCCUGAGCCAAGGCACUAAUAUGAGCACCACGAGACCCACGACUGUAUCGGGGCUCACGGUAAGUAGGCGUGGGUGUGGGGGGGUGAGCGUUGCGUUGCUGGGGGGCCCAUCCCAGCGUGGGGAAGAG
This 642-nucleotide long non-coding RNA is filed under the name Pelusios castaneus (West African mud turtle). Its description in RNAcentral is "lncRNA (ENSPCEG00000018158.1)". Lineage: Eukaryota; Metazoa; Chordata; Testudines; Pelomedusidae. The record is from RNAcentral.